GGAGAGAUGUCCGAGCUGGUCGAUGGAGCACGAUUGGAAAUCGUGUAGAGCGCGCAAGCGUUCUCGAGGGUUCGAAUCCCUCUCUCUCCGCCA
This 93-nucleotide transfer RNA is filed under the name Candidatus Fermentibacterota bacterium. RNAcentral describes it as "tRNA-Ser". It matches the Rfam family "tRNA". From Rfam's summary of the family: Transfer RNA (tRNA) molecules are approximately 80 nucleotides in length. Their secondary structure includes four short double-helical elements and three loops (D, anti-codon, and T loops). Lineage: Bacteria; Pseudomonadati; Candidatus Fermentibacterota. The record is from RNAcentral.